This 961-nucleotide long non-coding RNA is filed under the name Mytilus galloprovincialis (Mediterranean mussel). Lineage: Eukaryota; Metazoa; Mollusca; Bivalvia; Mytilida; Mytilidae. The record is from RNAcentral.
CCCGAAUUGACUGGACAUACACUGAAAUAUUUGCCAUUGGUCUUACUCAAACAACGAUUCACUCAUAAAUGCAUUACUAAAAAAAGUGUGAGGUAAAUUGUUUUGUUUGUCUAGUUUCUCAGAUCCGUUAAAAUACACUUAGAAAUAUAUAGAAAAAAACAUUAUCCCCUCCUUUUGCCAAAGACUCAUAGGAGAACAAAUACCAACAACAGAAAAAGAAACAAACAUAAAAGAUAGGAAUGUAGUGAUCAUCUCAAUCCUUUUUCUUCGUCUGUAAGAUGACAAUGACGCAGCCUACGUUUUCUAAUGCGUUACCGAUACAUCUUUAGUACAUUCAAACUACUGCAAAUCAUCAAAAUGGCGUUCAUAAAGGAGCAACGACUUCAUUUCAAAAAGGAGGGCGGGAGGGUCUGAGUGGGAUUUUUUUUUCGCGCAAACAUUUUUAUUCAUUUUUUAUCGAUGCUAGCAUUCAAAUAUUUUUUUCCAUAUUUGACACUAUAAUGUAUGGGGAAGCUCUGGAUUCAGAUUUAUUUUGUUUAUCAAAUUGGGGAUCAGAAUAUUUUUCUAGGAAGGAUCCAUUCCCCUCCCCCUUUUUUGAAGUCAAAUGGUUGUUCCCUAACUGCUAUACAUGACGUUUGGUGUGAAUACGGUAUAAGAUUGCAACACACGUAAUGUUGUCAUUUUAGCGGUAUUUUCAGCAUUGCAAUACAGGGGUUUUAAAAUCCAUAUCACACUUUUCUUAAAGUGUCGCGUACGAAGUCAGGAAUAUGGUAGUUGAUAUUAAUAGUACGCUUCUUUGCAGUUUUGCGUUUGCGCAGGGACGUUAAGGGCUUUUCAAGAAAAUUCCAAUCUUUAUACACAGCAAAAUUCAUAUUGAACUCAAAGUUGAUUUUCUCUGUAUAAAGGCCAAAAUGUACGUCAAAGGCGAAAACAGGGGUAAAAGGGUCUAUCAUGGAUUUCC